This 301-nucleotide ribosomal RNA is filed under the name uncultured bacterium. RNAcentral's name for it is "partial 16S ribosomal RNA". It matches the Rfam family "Bacterial small subunit ribosomal RNA", at positions 509 to 807 of the family's 1533-position model. The record is from RNAcentral.
CAGUCGCCACGGGAAUACGGAGGGUGCAAGCGUUAAUCGGAAUUACUGGGCGUAAAGCGCACGCAGGCGGUUUGUUAAGUCAGAUGUGAAAUCCCCGAGCUUAACUUGGGAACUGCAUUUGAAACUGGCAAGCUAGAGUCUUGUAGAGGGGGGUAGAAUUCCAGGUGUAGCGGUGAAAUGCGUAGAGAUCUGGAGGAAUACCGGUGGCGAAGGCGGCCCCCUGGACGAAGACUGACGCUCAGGUGCGAAAGCGUGGGGAGCAAACAGGAUUAGAUACCCGAGUAGUCCCUGUCUCUUAUAC